Drosophila mauritiana is the source of this 1221-nucleotide long non-coding RNA. RefSeq lists it as uncharacterized. The transcript has 4 exons. The record is from RefSeq and is a predicted model, not a curated record. NCBI's taxonomy places the organism in Eukaryota, Metazoa, Arthropoda, Insecta, Diptera, Drosophilidae.
AGGCAAUCGACCAUGAAACUGAGCAACAACUACGCAAACUAUCUAUAAGAUACAUUUCCCAUCGCACAGCCAAUUGUGGCCAGGAAGGGGGGAAAAGUUUAUACAGAACUUCCUGUUGCUAAAAUUUACAACGGAACGUUUUCAACAUUGAAUUCGAAAUAUUGGCAAAUAUUGGUUGGAUUUCAAAGCUUUUGAACGCGCGACGGCGACGAACACAACUGAGUUAUGAAAACUGAAUGAAAAGCACAAAAGCAGAGCAAAGUAAACUUGUUUGCCGCCUGCCCACCCCCAACAAAAGGGAGGGAAAGAGCGAGCAAUAUGAAGAGAGAGAGAAACAUCAAUAUUGGCGCUUUUUAGCAUUUUGACUUAACAACACUGGCAGUGAGAACGAGGCAUUACCAUCUGGUAAAAAAGCUUUCAAAACUUGUUGCUCUUGUCUCUUUCGUAUUUCUCUUUCCCAAAAAUAUGAGAAACCGACACUUUAAAGAUAUAUUAACGAAUAUCGAAUAUAAUUGGAGUCUUAAUAUUCGUAUAUUUUAUAGAGAUCAGAGUAAAUCUCUUACAGUUUUCGAUUUACCCCUCUCUUUCUCCUCUCAAUUCCCCUCUCUUUCUCGCACACCAAAACCGCUGCAAAUUUGAAUUAAUGGUUCACCCUGUUGCUUUUUAUCUUUUAAUUGAGCUGAGCUGCAAUUCAAGUGGACCGUGUGAGAUCUACGAGGCGCUCUGGGGUUUUCCCCGCUUCGGGAAAGAAAAUCAUCUUAAUUGAAUUCAUUCAUAAAUUGCAGCUUUGAACUGGACCAACAAGUCAACAAGUCUAUCUGCACUGAUCCUAUAAACAGACCGAAGGGGCGCCGAAAGAUAUCUUAACAUUGCCCCAAGAUGAGGAAUAGUCGGCGCAAGAGUGAAUCCCCCAAACCACGGCAUGAUCGCCUGCUACACCGCAGUCCGUCCGUUUGUCCGCUCAUCUGUCCGUUCGUCGGACAGUCCGUUCCCCCAAUUGACGUCAACGGCGCCGACUAAAGUCAGUGAGGCAGGCCGUAAGAGGCACGUACUGGAAAUCAAAUGAUGUAGUUUCUACAUUAUAUAGACAAAGGCGACGUCGGCAAUGGAAAGCAGGGUACAGAAAUAAAACAUUCGGUUCCACUUUAGAACGAGACGAAGAGCAACGCACAAAAUCCAACAAAGAUCCAGAUCUUGGCUAUAUAAGCGAAUACAAUUAUA